This 330-nucleotide long non-coding RNA is filed under the name Nicotiana benthamiana. RNAcentral's name for it is "long non-coding RNA (NBEN_LNC002223)". Lineage: Eukaryota; Viridiplantae; Streptophyta; Magnoliopsida; Solanales; Solanaceae. The record is from RNAcentral.
UUAGUCAUUCUUGUUCAAGAAUUUUCUUUCAUAAGUCCAUAAAAACUUAGGCUCUCCAAAUAGCUCUUCUUGCCUACAAUCUUAAAUGGCAAAUAGAAGUUUCUACACGUUCUCGUGCCGGGAAAAAAUGUCCCUACUUCUUCAAACCUUACUCCAUCUAUACAUUUUUAUGAUGAUGGAUCCAUUCUUUGGUUUGAACAAGAAAAUGAGCUAUAUCGUUUCAUUCAAAUAUUUGAAAAUCGAGCCAUUCCUUCAUCUCGAUCCACCAGCGCUAAAUAUCUCGCUGAUUUUUUCUUCAUAUACACUUCUCCAAAGUUCAUCUCUUAACUU